RNAcentral lists this transfer RNA (57 nucleotides) under Canis lupus familiaris (dog). It matches the Rfam family "tRNA", at positions 9 to 63 of the family's 71-position model. Rfam says of the family: Transfer RNA (tRNA) molecules are approximately 80 nucleotides in length. Their secondary structure includes four short double-helical elements and three loops (D, anti-codon, and T loops). The record is from Rfam by way of RNAcentral. Lineage: Eukaryota; Metazoa; Chordata; Mammalia; Carnivora; Canidae. RNAcentral also lists the same sequence under 2 other names.
GGCUCAGUAGGUAGAGCAUGAGACUCUUGAUCUCAGAGUCGUGAGUUUGAGGCCCAC